RNAcentral lists this ribosomal RNA (217 nucleotides) under Campeiostachys nutans. Its description in RNAcentral is "Elymus nutans partial small subunit ribosomal RNA". The stretch from base 40 to 217 matches the Rfam family "Eukaryotic small subunit ribosomal RNA", at positions 686 to 864 of the family's 1831-position model. The record is from RNAcentral. Lineage: Eukaryota; Viridiplantae; Streptophyta; Magnoliopsida; Poales; Poaceae.
GGGUCAGUAGGUUGGUCAUGCCACUGGUAUGUACUGGUCUUACUGAUUCCUCCUUCCUGAUGAACUGUAAUGCCAUUAAUUUGGUGUUGCAGGGAAUCUGGGCUGUUACUUUGAAAAAAUUAGAGUGUUUAAAGCAGACUAUCGUCUGAAUACAUUAGCAUGGAAUAAUGAAAUAGGACGGACUGAUUCUAUUUCGUUGGUUUCUAGGAUCACCGUA